This 265-nucleotide ribosomal RNA is filed under the name uncultured Eubacteriales bacterium. RNAcentral's name for it is "uncultured Clostridiales bacterium partial 16S ribosomal RNA". It matches the Rfam family "Bacterial small subunit ribosomal RNA", at positions 75 to 339 of the family's 1533-position model. Lineage: Bacteria; Bacillati; Bacillota; Clostridia; Eubacteriales. The record is from RNAcentral.
CCAAAUGAUAGGAAUGCUUAGUGGCGGACUGGUGAGUAACGCGUGAGGAACCUGCCUUUCAGUGGGGGACAACAGUUGGAAACGACUGCUAAUACCGCAUAAUGUUUCUGGACCGCAUGAUCUGGAAACCAAAGCUUUAUGUGCUGAAAGAUGGCCUCGCGUCUGAUUAGCUGGUUGGCAGGGUAACGGCCUACCAAGGCGAUGAUCAGUAGCCGACCUGAGAGGGUGACCGGCCACAUUGGGACUGAGACACGGCCCAAACUCC